GUCCUGGAACCUCUAGGGUGGGGCUCACUUUCCUGCAUGCUUCUCUCAAGUCAUACCAAAUGAUAUUGCAUCUGCUGAUGGCAACCUAAUCAACGCAACGAGUGCCACCUCAGUGUGCUUCACUUCAGAUUGUGUCCAGAGACAUCAGGUGUGGAAUGACAACCCUCAUUACUCAGUUCCUUCCAAAGCAAGUUCUUAAAGCUGUGAUUGACAUUUGUCUCAUGAAUCCUCUCAGGACAUUGUGUAAGCUGUGGUUCCAGAUGCUAACAUGAUGCCGACCAGACUUCCCUGGACAGACAACCCCACCAAUGUGUCCUGGAGCUCUGCUUCCCACUAGGGAAAGAGAGUGGGAAGAGCCCUUCCCACUAGGAAAAGAGAGAGACAGGCUGGGAGUAUGGAUCGACCUGUCAAUGUCCAUGUUCAGUGGGGAAGCAAUUACAGAAGCCAGACCUUCCACCUUCUGCAUCCUACAAUGACCUUGGGUCCAUACUCCCAGAGGGAUAAAGAAUAGGGAAGCUGUCAGGGGAGGGGAUGGGAUACUCAGUUCUGGUGGUGGGAAUUGUGUGGAGUUGUACCCCUUGUAUCCUAUGGCUUAUUCAAUGUUUCCUUUUUAUAAAUAAAAAAUUUA
Erinaceus europaeus (western European hedgehog) is the source of this 628-nucleotide long non-coding RNA. RefSeq lists it as uncharacterized. NCBI's taxonomy places the organism in Eukaryota, Metazoa, Chordata, Mammalia, Eulipotyphla, Erinaceidae. The transcript has 3 exons. The record is from RefSeq and is a predicted model, not a curated record.